GAGAUUCUUCCUCUUUUGGUAGUGAGUUUCCAGAGCUUCUUGAUUCUACCACACUUCAAAUCAGUUAAAUGUAAACUUUAUUAGAUUCAUGUAUGUAGUUAAAUUUCAUAGAUUUGAGUCCAGAGAGAGAGAGAGAGACUUACGAGGUAUCUGAUUCAUCAUAAGAAGAUGUUGGAAAGAGACGAAGUUCCAAGUCGCAGUUUUUCUCCAUCUUCUGAGUUGUAAGGACAAUAACUGAUGAUGCUGAUGAUGGUGGUGGUGGUGAUAUUGUGUCUGGAUUGACGAAUAUAAGUUUAUUUAUAUGUUUGGUUUGUGAGGAGGGAGAGAGGGCGCGAGAGAGUUAGUGGAGAUAGAACACGGUAUCCUAAGACAGAGACAGACAGAUCACAGCUUCUUUUUAAUUAUCUCACAUGGAAAAUGUUUUUUCUAUUUUUUUAUUUGUGUAGUAUAGGUUUUGGAUUCUUUAUUAAUUGAACUAGAAUAAAAAGACAAAAGUCACGAAACUUUAUUUUUAUUCUAUUUUUUCCGUUGCAUUUUAAUACGUAUACUACUAAAUCUCUACUGGCGGUUUCGACGCAUUUUGUACAUUUCCGAAAAUAGUACUCUCAUAUUUCAUUCGUUUUGAUUGGAAUAAUUAUUUGUUAAAAUUUUCUGUAUCUUUGGUAUUUUUUAUUAUACUCCUAUAUUAGUUCACCGGUAUACUAAAGUGUUUGAUGCCUACCUGCUUUUUAGUUGUCAAAGUAUCGACUGCUGAAUAGUAUCGACUGCUGAAUAGUUUACCGAUUAAUAUUCACAGGCGGCGUAUCUUCUUAAGUCAAUUCUAUAAUCACUGCACACGCAAAUAUUAUCAAUCUUGGCGGUGUUUGACAAAACUUAUCUGUUGUAUUAAGUGUUACGAAAUUUUAUUAAAUGAUUAGAUUAAGGUAGAAUCAGGAUAACUAAUUAAUAUUUGAUCGAAGCACGUGUUUGCGUCUCCAAUAAGUUGCUCCUUUUGAUAUUUCUUACUUUUAUUAACUCUUCUACAAGAUUCAUAUGUAUCUAUUUUCUUUGCGGCUAUGAAACAAGUGGUAAGGAUUCAUGGAGAAAAAACGUGGUAGGGACAACAUUUUUGAUUAGUGAUUGAAUUUAGUUGUCAAGCCAUCCACUAUAAUGUUAUUUUAGUUAAGAUAAAAACAUAUUUGAAAUGAAAUCGGUUUAAGUAAUUCUCAUUUACAUUCCGCUUUUGGUUGUUAUAAUGUUUAAAUUGAGAUAUGUUGAUCAAUCUUGGUUUAUGCAAAACGCAUCCGUCUAAAAUAAUUCUUUUAAGACCUUUCGGUAAAUGUAGUGGAAACCAUGGGCUAAUCCAAGUCUUAAUUGAGUUCCCAUUGCCUACAUAAUUAGUUACUUUAAUCAUUGAGUCAAUGGCAUUUUUGUUUGUCAUAAAGAAAGAAAUUUAACAAAAAAUUUAUUUGUUAUUUUGUUUAUUUAAUUUAGAUAAGAAACUAACAUAGAAGUAAAACACGUGAGUCAUGAGAAAUACUAGUAACACACGACCUUAAGAUUGUUGGCUUCCCAUGCACCAUUCAAUUGAUUCAUUAUCUCAUAAACAUCGUUUUCGUUUCAGAAAUUAAUUUUGAUUAAGCCUUUACAAAAAAAAUUUGAUUACGUGCCUAGAUGUGGUCGACUUGAUGUGGUCGACUUAUUAACGAUUUAUCCCAUUAAAAUAAAAUAAAAAGUAGUUGACGAAUCCCUUUUUCGUUUGUUUCUAUGUCGACGACUCCUUAGAUGUGCCCGUAUACCGGCAAUAUAGAAAACAAAAGCACGUUGAAAAUAAAUACAAGUCGUUCGAUAUUUCAAAAACAAAUAAGUCAAUUUUGGGACCGAGUUUAACAUGUGGUGUUGUGUUGCACAAAUCAACGAACAAUGAAAUAAUCAAAAGCUAUCUAACAAUCUACCACUGAUAUGAAGCUUGCAGUUUUGACACCCAACGAAUGAACACACUGGUUAUUGUAUUUAAUAUUCAUUUGCUAUGAUUCUUUUUUUCUCGAUAAAAUAUUUAGAAGAAUAAAAAUGAUCUAAAAUUGUGAAAGGAUUAACAACUACUAAGGGUAAACAAGUAAAAGAUAAUAUCCCUCUAAACAUAUAAAAAUAAAUUUUACUAUAAACAUGAAAAUAUUAACCUGAAAUAUUUCACCAUAAACCUUCUUUUGUUCGGGCUGAUAUUGUUUUUAAAAAGAUAUUAAUCCGAACAAAACAAACAUGAGAAGUGAAAUACAUUUUUUGGUAAAAUGAAAAGUGAAAUACUUGUGAAAAAGUAUCAAAGCAAAAUAAUUGAUUAAAAGGCAGAUCCUGAGAAUUGGGAUCCUACAAAGCUACAUUUUCCAAUCAAUAUUCUGGAUUUGAGUUCAAAUACAAAAAAAAAAAUAUUGUAAUUAUUAAAGACUAGAGAGAAAAGUCGAUAAAUAAGAAAAUGAAUUGAUUAGACCAAAAAAGAAGAAGAAUUGAUUAGAGGCUCUGAGCCACAAAGUUGGAAAAGACUAGAAGCAUGUGUCGUCUUUUUUGGGUGAAAAGCAUCUGUUAUUUGUUCUAAUACAGUAUUUUCACAACUUCUGUUGUUAAUAAAUCCGAAGUUAAAAAAAAAGAAGUCCGAAGUUAGUUAAAAUUUCAUUUUAGAAUAAAGAUAUUUUAGAGGACAAAAAAUUACAUGAAUUACCAUCACAAAUUGACAAUGUAACACAGUUGUCUUAGAGCAAACGGUAGAGUACUUGAAAAUGCAGGAAUGUUCUCUAACUUGCAAGAAGUCAAGUUACAUCGUAGGCUUAUCAUCAAACAACGUUCAUCUUUUCUUAUUAAGCCAAAAUCCAAACAAGUCAACCACUCCUACCUCUCGAUGAUGGAUUGUAAAUUCUUAACUCGUGACAAUCUGCUAUCUCAAGUGUGUGCAUAUUCAUGACCAAGGCCAAUUAGCAUCUCGCCACGCAAAGCGACAUCCUCCAAAACCACCACUACAGCCAUCAAAGCUAAUUGGUUCACCAGAGUUUGAUCCAUCUAAACCAACACAUCGAAGUUUUUGAUCACGUUUCGCUGAGUCCUCUCUGUAUGAUGGGUUUGAGUAUCUAGGGUGUUGGAUGAAAGGUACAUUCUUCCACCAGAGCUUAAGUGCCUAUAAAAUGAAUAGCAGUUAUGUAAUCUAGCCUACAAGUUGAUGAUCCAUAUGUACUUACAAAGAUAUUGAGUAUAUAUGAUGUAACUUACAUGCCAAUAGAUCCAUAUAGCAACCUUAUGAGGCAUCAACCAGAAGAAGACCGCGGGAUCUGAAACCCGUGUUUGGUCUAUUCUUUUCGCCUUCAAUGUCGCAGAGAAGUAGUUACCGUGAUGAGGAUGCUGUGAUUCAAUUGAUACAGAUAACUCAUCUCCAGGUUCAUUUGCUCUAAUCUUCCAAUUCCCAAGCAUAUCCUGAAAAUACAGUUAAAAACACUUAAUGAAUUCCACAAGUUGAACAAGAUCAAUCAAUAGAUGAUUGUAACAUCAUGAGAGUAGUAACAUACCAUGAAAGGACUGACUUGUAAUGAUUUAGCAACCAAGUCAGAUUCAGGGUCGAAAACAAAUGUCACUCGUUCCCCCCAUGGCGUAUUUGUAACCUACCAAAAAAAAACCUCUAAUCAUCAUCAACAGAAACACUUAAUGAAGAAACAGAGUAGAGAAAAAUAUGUACCUGUGCAAUGCAUUUACUUAAGCGUUUGCUUGAUCCUUCCAAGUUGUAGCAAUAAUACAAACUCAACGGGUUCUGCUCAUAUCCAACGCUUGGAGGUAUUGUCAAUAAGAAACUGCAACCAAAAAUAACAGAGAUCAUAUACAUAAUAACCUUGAUAGGGAAAACAGUAUCUUGAUCAUCACAUAGCCAUUAAACUUUCUGAAACUAAAAAGAUUCGAUCUACGCUGUUUCAGAUCAUAUACACAUCCUUUACACAAACAGAAUCUUAACUCACUUCUUGACUGUGUAUAUAAUUAUAUAUGUACAUACCUGAAGAUGGGUAACAUUCGAAGAAACACACAUUUUUCCAUUGUAGAAAAUUGUUAUCCUCUGAGAUUCUUCCUCUUUUGGUAGUGAGUUUCCAAGAGAUCUUUUCAUAGAAGCCUUUGGAUUUGGAAGCUGAUGAUGAUGUAAUCUUGUCAACCUGUUCCGAGGAUCCGACCCGUUUGAGGAUGACCUCUCUUCCAUCUCUCUACUCGCGAUCGAUAUUAUAGAUUUAGCCUGCAUUCAUUCAUAAAAAAACAUUAAUGGUUAAUAAGAUCCAUUAAUUGCUUAUAAAAUAUAAUCAUAUAAAUGAAUGUGUAUAUAUGUACAUACCUGAAGAUGGGUAACAUUCGAAGAAACACACAUUUUUCCAUUGUAGAAAAUUGUUAUCCUCUGAGAUUCUUCCUCUUUUGGUAGUGAGUUUCCAGAGCUUCUUGAUUCUACCACACUUCAAAUCAAUUAAAUGUAAACUUUAUUAGAUUCAUGUAUUUAGAUAAAUUUCAUAGAUUUGAUUCCAGAGAGAGAGAGACUUACGAGGUAUCUGAUUCAUCAUAAGAAGAUGUUGGAAAGAGACGAAGUUCCAAGUCGCAGUUUUUCUCCAUCUUCUGAGUUGUAAGGACAAUAACUGAUGAUGCUGAUGAUGGUGGUGGU
RNAcentral lists this long non-coding RNA (4648 nucleotides) under Brassica napus (rape). RNAcentral describes it as "long non-coding RNA (BNAP_LNC007098)". The record is from RNAcentral. Lineage: Eukaryota; Viridiplantae; Streptophyta; Magnoliopsida; Brassicales; Brassicaceae.